This is a non-coding RNA of Pelobates cultripes (western spadefoot toad), 293 nucleotides long. The record is from the annotation of a GenBank genome assembly. NCBI's taxonomy places the organism in Eukaryota, Metazoa, Chordata, Amphibia, Anura, Pelobatidae.
GUGAUUUUCACAGUGAGAGGCGCGGAAGCGCCUCUAGCGGCCGUCAGUGAGACAGCCACUAGAGGCUGGAUUACCCCUCAGUGAAACAUAGAGGGACCUGGCACCCAGACCACUUAAUUGAGCUGAAGUGGUCUGGGUGCCAAUAGUGGUCCUUUAAUACAGGUUAGAUAUGUUUUUUCCUGGUAAUUAAACUGCUCUUGGAUGCUUAGAUAGAUAAACUGGACAUGAGAAAUAUGUUAAGUAAAAGAGUGAACAUGAGUAGUAUCACUAGGUGAGGAAUUGCUUAAGGAUGU